CCCCACACAAAGGGUAUGGAAUCAUAUUCUCCUCUACCUCAUCAAACUUCUCGGAAAGCUCAAAUGGAGAGGGAUGGUGAGCAGUGGCUGAGGAGUAGCAGCUCCCAGGAAGAGCACUCUUGGUGUUGCGAUCUUUGAAUGACGUCUUGGGCUCCAUGGCGCAGCUGGACAGACAGAUGUGUACAGAUGGACGGCCGCAGCGGUGCAGCUGCAAUGCCCAGCGGAAGCAGCAAUGUUCAGCACUUCAGAAGUAGCACUGCCUUACCUGGGUGGCACUGGUGGCCUCUGGGGCGAAGCCGCUGGGCCUCCUGCAACAGUGAUAAAGUCUCCAGCAACCUGUGGGGAAAGGCCUUGCAGAAGACACUCUGGAAACAGAACAAUUCAGGAGGCCGGCCAGCAGUGAGAGGUCCCGCAUCCACUGAGGUGAACAACAGUGCCGUGGGAUGUUAAUGUGGGUAAGUCUCAUCCAAUCCUUUGAAGGCCUGAAGAACAAAGAGUGAGGUUUCUGGAAGAAGAAAAUUUUACCUCAAGCCUGCAAUGUAGAAAUUCUGCUUGAGUUUCCCGCCUGCUGGCCUGCCCUGUGGAAUUCGGAGUCAAGAAGGAGUCUUGUAAGCAUUAACUGAGAUAGUAUAUGAAGAGUGCUUUUGCACCGAGUGAACCUUCAAUCAACUGUACUAGUUUGUAUGCCUGGAAGAGCUGCUAUAUGGGAUCAGAAAGAAAAAUAAGGUGCAUACGCCAGAAAAAAAAUACUUGCAUAUGAGUACUAGGAGAUGCAUGACAAUGUUCACGGCAGCAGUAUUCAUGGCAGUGAAAAAUGAAAAGAACUGAAAUGCCCAUUGAUAAAAACGUCUACUUAUUUGUGUCAUCUUUGCACAGUGGAAUUGUGCGAGUGGAAAUGAUUGAUCUACAGCUAGGAGAAGCAGCAGAGCUCAAUCUCAAAAACAUAACGUUGUGUGGAAAAAGCUAACCUCAGAACACUUUGCGGCUCUAUCUUAGCAAACCAGGAGAGAAAUUCUCCUGAUGGCCUUGAAGAAGCAAACAGCCACCUGGUUAAGCCCCUGUGGAUAGUGCCAAGUGGCAGGAAAGUGGGAGCCACCUCUAGGACCUGAGGAUUAAAGUCAGUAAGAGCUGGGACCUCACUCAUGCAGACUCGAGGACAUGAAUUCGACCAACAACUUGAAUGAGCUUGGAAGUGGAUUCUUCCCUAGUCCAGUCUUCAGAAAUUAAGAAUGUUCCCAAAGAAUGAUGGAGACAUUUCAAAAGGAUACGGAAGCCAGAUUGUGGGCGCUUCUACUGGCCAACUCUGGGACAUCGUGGACAUCAAAAUAAAUUUGUAAUAAUAAAGGAUUAUAGCCUAUUAGUUAAAUCAGAAAAAUCUGAUUUAACUAAAUGAGUAGGAGGAAAAGAAAGCUCUUCCUUAUAUUAGAAAGUCAAUUAAUAAAUGCAGAAAGGAAUGAAAAAAUUAGAAAAGCCACCAUUUGGCAACCAUGGCAGGCAGAAUGGGGAGUAUGCCUCCAGACAGUAAUUCCUUUCAAACUGGUUUAUAGGAACUCACUGAGCUUGCUGAUCGACCUCUGAGAGGCAAAGUUUCUGAAUUAUGAAGUACUGAUUAUAUAAACUUAGACAGAGACAUGCUUCAUUAUUUAAUAGGACUGUGUCAAAAGCCUACUAUUAGGAUGAUGUGUUGGGUGUGGAACAGGGUCUCUUCCUGCCAGGAACACUGGUGAUUUCACUCCGUGUUCAGGCUGAUCUUUGAAGUUGAAGACAAGCAGAAGAAUCCUUCUAAAAUUUAGCCAUGCCCAUAGGCUGGGAGGGACACUGCUCCAUUCAGAGGCAGCAAAGCACAUUACUGUAUCUCCUAUAGAGCUUUGAGCAGUCCAGUGUACAUGGAGAAACUUAGUAAAUGUUGUUGAAUUAGUGAAUGAACAAAUCAAUGGACCAAGUCAGGGGUAAGUCUUACAUUUGUCAUCUAGGUGAUUAAGAAAGGAAAAAGUAUCUGUUUCAAGAGGAUUACAAUCUAACUGUACUCCAAUAGUAAAAUUUACUCUUUUGGAAUCUGAA
Long non-coding RNA from Homo sapiens (human), 2061 nucleotides. Ensembl annotates it as disrupted in renal carcinoma 3. Its record names the gene DIRC3. Lineage: Eukaryota; Metazoa; Chordata; Mammalia; Primates; Hominidae. The record is from Ensembl.